This 542-nucleotide long non-coding RNA is filed under the name Vigna radiata. RNAcentral's name for it is "long non-coding RNA (VRAD_LNC000280)". The record is from RNAcentral. Lineage: Eukaryota; Viridiplantae; Streptophyta; Magnoliopsida; Fabales; Fabaceae.
UUCCACUGCUGCUGCAUCCCUUGGCAUGUCAGAAAUGCUUGGAAACCCCAUCAACCUCAGUGGUGCCACAAGGCCUGCUCCAUCUCCCUCUAGCCCUGCCUCCUUCAAAACUGUGGCUCUUUUCUCCAAAAAGAAGGCAGCACCACCUCCCCCCAAAAAACCUGCUGCUGUUUCUCCUGCCAAUGAUGAACUUGCCAAGUGGUAUGGUAAGUCCUCCAGCUAUCUGUGUUUCAUCUCAAUUAUAUCGCUUCAACACUGUAAUUGAAAGAAGGAUAACUGAUAGUGUUUGAAGUCUCACAUUAACUAGAGAUAAGACUAAUUUAGUAUAUAUGACCAAUUUAGUGCAUAUAAAUAGGUGCAAACCUUAUCCUACAAUAUACUAGUUUUUGUGAAAUUGAGUUAGGCCUAAUGUAAUUUCUAACACAUAGUGUGUUUGGUUUCACAUCCAUAUCAUACCCUUCUUAGUUACUCUACAGUGUGAUUUGAACACUGUUCCAAACAGUUGCUGAUAAACUUUUGUUGUCCCAUUUGCUUGCAGGUCC